Molecule: ribosomal RNA, 82 nt
Filed under: Olea europaea subsp. europaea
Lineage: Eukaryota; Viridiplantae; Streptophyta; Magnoliopsida; Lamiales; Oleaceae
Description: LSU_rRNA_archaea
Source: RNAcentral
AAUCUGACGAAUAAAAACAUCUUAGUAGUCAAAGGAAAAGAAAGCAACAAAGAUUUUCGUAGUAACGGUGAGUAAAAUGGGA